Molecule: unclassified non-coding RNA, 307 nt
Filed under: uncultured Sporormiaceae
Lineage: Eukaryota; Fungi; Ascomycota; Dothideomycetes; Pleosporales; Sporormiaceae
Description: sequence contains ITS1
Rfam family: 5.8S ribosomal RNA (bases 1-106)
Source: RNAcentral
GAAAUGCGAUAAGUCGUGUGAAUUGCAGAAUUCCGUGAAUCAUCGAAUCUUUGAACGCACUUUGCGCCCUUUAGUAGGUCCAUUGGGCAUGCCCGCUCGAGAGUCAUUUCCGCCCAAUCUCAGUCACUGCUUGGUGAUGGACGCUUGUCCCGCCCUGCUGCGCGCGGACUCGCCUCAAAACCAUUGGCGGCCGGCAUCCGUUUUUCGCACGCAGUAUACCGCGCGAGUGGAAUUAGGAAGCCCGGCGUCCACAAAAAGGACCCCCAAGAUUGACCUCGGAUCAGGUAGGGAUACCCGCUGAACUUAA